RNAcentral lists this ribosomal RNA (555 nucleotides) under uncultured bacterium. RNAcentral describes it as "bacterial SSU rRNA". It matches the Rfam family "Bacterial small subunit ribosomal RNA", at positions 173 to 744 of the family's 1533-position model. The record is from RNAcentral.
UAAGAUACGUUUGUCGCAUGGCAUUUGUAUUAAACGCUCCGGCGCCAUAGGAUGGACCCGCGUCCCAUUAGCUAGUUGGUGAGAUAACAGCUCACCAAGGCCACGAUGGGUAACCGGUCUGAGAGGGCGAACGGUCACACUGGAACUGAGACACGGUCCAGACUCCUACGGGAGGCAGCAGUGGGGAAUAUUGCGCAAUGGGGGCAACCCUGACGCAGCAAUACCGCGUGAGUGAAGAAGGUUUUCGGAUCGUAAAGCUCUGUUAUUGGGGAAGAAAAAAAGACGGUACCCAAGAAGAAAGUUCCGGCUAACUACGUGCCAGCAGCCGCGGUAAUACGUAGGGAACAAGCGUUGUCCGGAUUUACUGGGCGUAAAGGGCACGCAGGCGGUUUUUUAAGUCAGAUGUGAAAGGCCACAGCUCAACUGUGGACAUGCAUUUGAAACUGAAAGACUUGAGUAUUGGAGAGGCAAGUGGAAUUCCUAGUGUAGCGGUGAAAUGCGUAGAUAUUAGGAGGAACACCGGUGGCGAAGGCGGCUUGCUGGACAAAUACUGAC